This 83-nucleotide non-coding RNA is filed under the name Alicyclobacillus acidoterrestris. Its description in RNAcentral is "ZTP sequence". It matches the Rfam family "ZMP/ZTP riboswitch aptamer (pfl RNA motif)". From Rfam's summary of the family: Previously known as pfl RNA. ZMP is also known as AICAR. The record is from RNAcentral. Lineage: Bacteria; Bacillati; Bacillota; Bacilli; Caryophanales; Alicyclobacillaceae. RNAcentral also lists the same sequence under 1 other name.
GCACAGCUGUGUGACUGGCGGUAAACGUGGAGCACCACGAGGAAGCACGGCUGAGAAAAUUGUCGACCGCCUGGGCAUAUUAC